ACGUAGGGGGCGAGCGUUGUCCGGAAUUACUGGGCGUAAAGGGUGCGUAGGCGGUUGCUUAAGUUGGAUGUGAAAUACCCGGGCUUAACUUGGGGGGGGCAUUCGAAACUGGGCAACUAGAGUUCAGGAGAGGGAAGCGGAAUUCCUAGUGUAGGGGUGAAAUGCGUUAAUACUAGGAGGAACACCUGUGGCGAAGGCGUCUUACUGGACCGGCACUGACAGUGAGGAACGAAAGCUUGGGGAGCAAACAG
This 251-nucleotide ribosomal RNA is filed under the name uncultured prokaryote. Its description in RNAcentral is "partial 16S rRNA". It matches the Rfam family "Bacterial small subunit ribosomal RNA", at positions 525 to 775 of the family's 1533-position model. The record is from RNAcentral.